GUAGGGGGCGAGCGUUGUCCGGAUUUAUUGGGCGUAAAGAGCUCGUAGGCGGUUUGGCAAGUCGGGUGUGAAACCUCCAGGCUCAACCUGGAGUCGCCACCCGAUACUGCUAUGACUUGAGUCUGGUAGGGGAUCACGGAAUUCCUGGUGUAGCGGUGAAAUGCACAGAUAUCAGGAGGAACACCGGUGGCGAAGGCGGUGAUCUGGGCCAGUACUGACGCUCAAGAGCGAAAGCGUGGGUAGCGAACAGGAUUAGAUACCCUGGUAGUCCACGCCGUAAACGUUGGGCACUAGGUGUAGGGGGUUAUCAACGCCUCCUGUGCCGUAGMWAACGCAUUAAGUGCCCCGCCUGGGGAGUACGGCCGC
RNAcentral lists this ribosomal RNA (366 nucleotides) under uncultured bacterium. RNAcentral describes it as "bacterial SSU rRNA". It matches the Rfam family "Bacterial small subunit ribosomal RNA", at positions 527 to 889 of the family's 1533-position model. The record is from RNAcentral.